CAACACCCCCCUAAUCAUCCACCUGAGCUAAGUUCUGGUCUUUGGGCUAAAGUGGACAGUGGAUUUAAGGAGACUCACCUUUUGAUUGGAAGCUACACAGUACUCUUCCAAAAUCCUUCUAAAAAUGAUAGCAUUCAGAAUAGUAGCCCAGCUCAUCAAAAGACAAUCAUCUGUAAAGAAUAAAUGUGAGAUCAGCUGGACUCCAAGGAUCAAUAUAGUAGCCCGAUCGAUGUUUGGCUUUAGAAACGGUUCAUAUUUCCAUUUUGCUUGUGGCAAACCUUUUAACGGGUUGGGCUAUAUGUGGUUUCUUAUAAGCCUUAGCUUGUGUUUGU
RNAcentral lists this long non-coding RNA (332 nucleotides) under Elaeis guineensis (African oil palm). Its description in RNAcentral is "long non-coding RNA (EGUI_LNC029756)". Lineage: Eukaryota; Viridiplantae; Streptophyta; Magnoliopsida; Arecales; Arecaceae. The record is from RNAcentral.